RNAcentral lists this transfer RNA (79 nucleotides) under Fistulifera solaris. It matches the Rfam family "tRNA". From Rfam's summary of the family: Transfer RNA (tRNA) molecules are approximately 80 nucleotides in length. Their secondary structure includes four short double-helical elements and three loops (D, anti-codon, and T loops). Lineage: Eukaryota; Bacillariophyta; Bacillariophyceae; Naviculales; Stauroneidaceae. The record is from Rfam by way of RNAcentral.
GAUGUCGUGGCCGAGUGGUUAAGGCGUUACGUUUAGGCCGUAAUGAGCAAUCUCGCAGGUUCGAAUCCUGCCGACAUCA